This 208-nucleotide ribosomal RNA is filed under the name uncultured bacterium. RNAcentral describes it as "partial 16S ribosomal RNA". It matches the Rfam family "Bacterial small subunit ribosomal RNA", at positions 524 to 729 of the family's 1533-position model. The record is from RNAcentral.
UACGUAGGGACCGAGCGUUGUCCGGAAUCAUUGGGCGUAAAGAGCGUGUAGGCGGCCAAUUAAGUCCUGCGUGAAAUCUCGGGGCUCAACCCCGAGCGGUCGUGGGAAACUGGUUGGCUAGAGUGCGGGAGAGGAGAGUGGAAUUCCUGGUGUAGCGGUGAAAUGCGCAGAUAUCAGGAGGAACACCGGUGGGCGAAGGCGGGGUCUC